GGAGGGCAAUAGUAUUAGAGAGGGACAGCAACAGAUUUUAGUUCCACCUUUCUACCGCUACAUGGCGCUAGCAUUUUUGUUUCCAUAAAUCAAUGAAAUUUUUAUUUGCAAAAAAAACUAAUUAGGAGGAUUAAUUAAUAAAUUUUCAAAAUAUUCCUAAUUACAGUGAUGUUAGGAACGUAAUAUUUAACUUUUUGAGUUAGUGGUAAAUUAUUGGCAAUAUAAAUUGGUCAUUGGAAUAUUCUUGCAACAGUAACCUAUAAAAAAGUGUUUUGAGUGUAUCAGAUUGAAUUAAAGUUUUUUAUAAUUAUACUAAUUACUAAACGUGGGUGUAUAUGCAAUCUUAUAGGUUUGUCAUAGGGAUUUUGUGCAGCUAUUAUGUAUUAAUAAGAAUGUAGAGAACUUUUACACUUUAAAUUUAGAAAGUACUUCUUUACUUUAACAUUCAGUAAACAUUCUUCAGAUCUUUAUAAAAAUUACAUUCUCACAAGUGCAAGUUUACAUUAGAAUUCACAGUCAGACAAUUAUUAAAAUUAAUUCAAGAAAUAUCAAGGCAUGAAAUGGUACGCAAUGCACAAUAUACCAAGAAAUAUACAAAAUAUCCAAAGUAUAUUGUCAACAAUUUUCUACAAAGUUUCUAUUCUUUAAAUUGCAUUCUAGGAGCUGUAAAAUUGUAGUCUGUUCUCAAAGAAAGAAAACACUUGAAGAACUAGACAUGUUCCUCUGUAAUUCUUUUCCAAGUUAUCGUAGGUAUCUCUUCUUCGUCAAGUAAACGAACACAGAUCCUUCAGAUAAGCUAGAAGAGGAGCAGAUCGUUUAUUGCAAGGUGAUAAUGACUGUUUUGACAGCGGCUCGCGCUUCGACCAUCAUGAACUGUCCUGCCUCUUGCAGCCCCAUUGUCGCCGACACCAGAUUGGAAUCAAUAUUUACACUCAAGCCCGUGUAAGCUGUGGAUUACCAGAGGCUCAGCCGAUCCUUCCAACCCUUUCUUGAUUGAGUCAGCAUAGUCAGCCGGCCGUUUUGCUGAAAAAUUUCAGUUGAAAAGGGUCCCGUACGCGAUCUCGCUGCUAACCAACCUUUUACCAACCUACCUGAAACACUCUGUAUCCUCGGAAAAGAUUUUUUUUUGUGAUCGAUAACGAUUUCUCAAUUUCUUUCAUCUUCAGAAGCCAAGCUGAAGUUUGAAGCAAUUGUCAGGAAGCACUUGUGGUCGUUACCUUUUGAAAUUUGUCUUCAGAAUUUCAGUGGAAAUAAUUUCUUCUUUUGUCGAAAGACGUUGAAUGUUAAUUAUGCAGUUGGAUGAGAAGCGGAAAUGAUCCAGCUUGUGUUUACAGAACAUAUUAAAUAUGGAUUCACUUUGUGCAUUGAAAAUUAUAAAUAAUAAUCUACUCUGGAUGCUACAAAAAUUAUAGUUUAUAUGAUUUUUGAAUUGUUACAACAAAAUUCAGCGAUAUAUUAAUCAGUAAAAAUAAUCAUGGACGUUUACACAUUUAAAUUUUAGUACUCGAAGCGAGUCGAGAUCACUGGUACGCUUCUAAACGAUUUUUCACGCGUUCGAAGAGGGUUGCUUGAUCCAGGGGUUGGUAUUUAUACGGGGCGAGCGUCGAACAAUAUGAAAAUUCGUCAAUCGUUAUUGUAGCGUGUUCGACUGGAUAACGAUCGAGAUAUGUCGGUGCACGCGCGUGAAAGCUUCUCUAUUCGAGCCGUGGAUAAUUCGCAAUUGGAUUAUCGUGGCCGAUCUGGGAAUCCACGGUCGUUCUUUAAUUGAGUACAUAGAUAUAAGACAGGAAGAAUGAUGCCGGUUUGUUUCUCCCGGGUGGGAAAAAAUUGAAACAGUGAUUUGACAAAUUCGUAUAAUGGUGUUGUUAACGGUAAUAUUAGAACUUUUUUACGUUUAUAAAAUUGCUCAAUUGAUUACAUAUUAGAAUAAUUCGCAAUAAUCUGCAGUCCCCUGAUAAUUUGUGUGAAUAACAUUGAAGAUUAUUACACGUUGAGACGAAUAAAUUUUUAUUCAAAAUUAUAUUCAAAUACAUCAGUUCAACAUAAUUUAUAUAAAA
Molecule: long non-coding RNA, 2057 nt
Organism: Frieseomelitta varia
Lineage: Eukaryota; Metazoa; Arthropoda; Insecta; Hymenoptera; Apidae
Exons: 3
Source: RefSeq, a predicted model, not a curated record